AUACUCCUGAGAGACCGAUAGUGAACCAGUACCGUGAGGGAAAGGUGAAAAGAACCGUGAAUAACGGAGUGAAAUAGAUCCUGAAACCAUACGCCUACAAGCGGUCGAAGCCCUUAUUGGGGUGACGGCGUGCCUUUUGCAUAAUGAGCCUACGAGUUAACGUUGCUGGCAAGGAUAAAUACUUCAGGUAUGGAUCCGUAGCGAAAGCGAGUCUGAAUAGGGCGCUUUAGUCAGUAGUGUUAGACGCGAAACCGUGUGAUCUACCCAUGGGCAGGUUGAAGCUGUGGUAACACACAGUGGAGGACCGAACCGGUUGUCGUUGAAAAGACUUCGGAUGACUUGUGGGUAGGGGUGAAAGGCCAAUCAAACUCGGAAAUAGCUCGUACUCCCCGAAAUGCAUUUAGGUGCAGCGUUGGUUAUAAGUUAUAUAGAGGUAGAGCUACUGAUUGGAUGCGGGGGCUUCAUCGCCUACCAAUUCCUGACAAACUCCGAAUGCUAUAUAAUGUUUACCAGCAGUGAGGGCUUGGGUGCUAAGGUCCAAGUCCGAGAGGGAAAGAACCCAGACCAUCAGCUAAGGUCCCCAAAUAUAUGUUAAGUUGAAAGAACGAGGUUUGUCUGCAUAGACAGCUAGGAUGUUGGCUUGGAAGCAGCCAUUCAUUUAAAGAGUGCGUAACAGCUCACUAGUCGAGCGGACGAGCAUGGAUAAUAAUCGGGCAUAAACAUAUUACCGAAGCUAUGGAUUGUAGAGACAAAGCAUGCUUUGACUGUACAGUGGUAGGGGAGCAUUCUAACAGGGUAGAAGGUGUAUCGUAAGGUAUGCUGGACUGGUUAGAAAAGAAAAUGUAGGCAUAAGUAACGAUAAGCGGUGCGAGAAACACCGCCACCGAAAAACUAAGGUUUCCACAGCUAUGCUAAUCAGCUGUGGGUUAGUCUGGACCUAAGGCGAACCCGAAAGGGACAGUCGAUGGCCAACGGGUUAAUAUUCCCGUACUACUAUUAAUUGUGAUGGGGUGACACAGUGAUGAAAGCGCCGCGAACUGACGGAAUAGUUCGUUGAAGUACCUACCUAUAAGACCCGCAGGCAAAUCCACGGGUUUUGGGGAAAUACGAUAGUACUCGGAUACUUCGGUAGAAGAGAUAGUGCGCCUAAGGGCUGUCAAGAAAAACCUCUAAACUUCAGAUUAAUAGUACCCGUACCGUAAACCGACACAGGUAGUUGAGGAGAGAAUCCUAAGGUGCUCGAGAGAUUCAUGGCUAAGGAAUUAGGCAAAAUAGACCCGUAACUUCGGGAGAAGGGUCGCCCCGAUGUAAAUCGGGGCCGCAGUGAAGAGGUCCAGGCGACUGUUUAUCAAAAACACAGGGCUCUGCAAAAUCGUAAGAUGAAGUAUAGGGCCUGACACCUGCCCGGUGCUGGAAGGUUAAGUGGAGAUGUUAGUUGUAAGACGAAGCAUUGAAAUGAAGCCCCAGUAAACGGCGGCCGUAACAAUAACGGUCCUAAGGUAGCGAAAUUCCUUGUCGGGUAAGUUCCGACCUGCACGAAUGGCGUAACGACUUCCCCGCUGUCUCCAGCAUAGACUCAGUGAAAUUGAAUUCCCCGUGAAGAUGCGGGGUUCCUGCGGUUAGACGGAAAGACCCCGUGCACCUUUACUAUAGCUUUACAUUGGCAUUCGUAGUGGCAUGUGUAGGAUAGGUGGUAGGCUUUGAAACCUGGGCGCCAGCUCAGGUGGAGCCACCCUUGAAAUACCACCCUUAUUACUAUGGAUGUCUAACCGCGGCCCGUUAUCCGGGUCCGGGACAAUGUAUGGUGGGUAGUUUGACUGGGGCGGUCGCCUCCUAAAGAGUAACGGAGGCGCGCGAUGGUGGGCUCAGAACGGUCGGAAAUCGUUCGCUGAGUGCAAUGGCAUAAGCCUGCCUGACUGCGAGACUGACAAGUCGAGCAGAGACGAAAGUCGGUCAUAGUGAUCCGGUGGUCCCGCGUGGAAGGGCCAUCGCUCAACGGAUAAAAGGUACGCCGGGGAUAACAGGCUGAUGACCCCCAAGAGUC
This 2044-nucleotide ribosomal RNA is filed under the name Oncorhynchus tshawytscha (Chinook salmon). Its description in RNAcentral is "bacterial LSU rRNA". It matches the Rfam family "Bacterial large subunit ribosomal RNA", at positions 470 to 2500 of the family's 2925-position model. Lineage: Eukaryota; Metazoa; Chordata; Actinopteri; Salmoniformes; Salmonidae. The record is from RNAcentral.